This 459-nucleotide ribosomal RNA is filed under the name uncultured bacterium. Its description in RNAcentral is "partial 16S ribosomal RNA". It matches the Rfam family "Bacterial small subunit ribosomal RNA", at positions 338 to 795 of the family's 1533-position model. The record is from RNAcentral.
CCUACGGGUGGCAGCAGUGAGGAAUAUUGGUCAAUGGGCGCGAGCCUGAACCAGCCAAGUCGCGUGAGGGAAGACGGUCCUAUGGAUUGUAAACCUCUUUUGUCGGGGAGCAAAAGACGCCCCGCGUGGCGUUCCGAGAUUACCCGCAGAAAAAGCAUCGGCUAACCCCGUGCCAGCAGCCGCGGUAAUACGGAGGGUGCGAGCGUUAUCCGGUUUUAUUGGGUUUAAAGGGUGCGCAGGCGGAAGAUCAAGGCAGCGGUAAAAGUGAGAGGCUCAACCUCUUCGAGCCGUUGAAACUGGUUUGCUUGAGUGAGCGAGAAGUAUGCGGAAUGCGUGGUGUAGCGGUGAAAUGCAUAGAUAUCACGCAGAACUCCGAUUGCGAAGGCAGCAUACCGGCGCUCAACUGACGCUCAUGCACGAAAGUGUGGGUAUCGAACAGGAUUAGAUACCCCAGUAGUC